GCCGUCUUAGUUCAGCUGGUAGAGCACAUGUUUUUGACCAUGUGCUCGUGGGUUCGAUUCCCACAAACGGUA
Non-coding RNA from Glycine soja, 72 nucleotides. The record is from Rfam. Lineage: Eukaryota; Viridiplantae; Streptophyta; Magnoliopsida; Fabales; Fabaceae.